UACGAAGGGUGCAAGCGUUACUCGGAAUUACUGGGCGUAAAGCGUGCGUAGGUGGUCGUUUAAGUCUGUCGUGAAAGCCCUGGGCUCAACCUGGGAAUUGCGAUGGAUACUGGGCGACUAGAGUGUGGUAGAGGAUAGUGGAAUUUCCGGUGUAGCAGUGAAAUGCGUAGAGAUCGGAAGGAACAUCUGUGGCGAAGGCGACUAUCUGGGCCAACACUGACACUGAAACACGAAAGCGUGGGUAGCAAACAGG
Molecule: ribosomal RNA, 253 nt
Filed under: uncultured bacterium
Lineage: Bacteria
Description: partial 16S ribosomal RNA
Rfam family: Bacterial small subunit ribosomal RNA
Source: RNAcentral